GUGGGGGAUAACGUAGCGAAAGUUACGCUAAUACCGCAUAUUCUGUGAGCAGGAAAGCAGGGGAUCGCAAGACCUUGCGCUGAUUGAGCGGCCGAUAUCAGAUUAGCUUGUUGGUGAGGUAAAAGCUCACCAAGGCGACGAUCUGUAGCGGGUCUGAGAGGAUGAUCCGCCACACUGGAACUGAGACACGGUCCAGACUCCUACGGGAGGCAGCAGUGGGGAAUUUUGGACAAUGGGGGGCAACCCUGAUCCAGCCAUGCCACGUGAGUGAAGAAGGCCUUCGGGUUGUAAAGCUCUUUCAGCCGGGAAGAAAACGCAUGGGUUAAUACCCUGUGUGGAUGACGGUACCGGAAUAAGAAGCACCGGCUAACUACGUGCCAGCAGCCGCGGUAAUACGUAGGGUGCGAGCGUUAAUCGGAAUUACUGGGCGUAAAGCGUGCGCAGGCGGUUUUGUAAGACAGGCGUGAAAUCCCCGGGCUUAACCUGGGAACUGCGUUUGUGACUGCAAGGCUAGAGUACGGCAGAGGGGGGUGGAAUUCCACGUGUAGCAGUGAAAUGCGUAGAGAUGUGGAGGAACACCAAUGGCGAAGGCAGCCCCCUGGGUCGAUACUGACGCUCAUGCACGAAAGCGUGGGUAGCAAACAGGAUUAGAUACCCUGGUAGUCCACGCCCUAAACGAUGUCAACUAGGUGUUGGGAGGGUAAAACCUUUUAGUACCGGAGCUAACGCGUGAAGUUGACCGCCUGGGGAGUACGGCCGCAAGGUUAAAACUCAAAGGAAUUGACGGGGACCCGCACAAGCGGUGGAUGAUGUGGAUUAAUUCGAUGCAACGCGAAAAACCUUACCUACCCUUGACAUGCCAAGAACUUUCCAGAGAUGGAUUGGUGCCCGAAAGGGAACUUGGACACAGGUGCUGCAUGGCUGUCGUCAGCUCGUGUCGUGAGAUGUUGGGUUAAGUCCCGCAACGAGCGCAACCCUUGUCGUUAAUUGCCAUCAUUUAGUUGGGCACUUUAACGAGACUGCCGGUGACAAACCGGAGGAAGGUGGGGAUGACGUCAAGUCCUCAUGGCCCUUAUGGGUAGGGCUUCACACGUCAUACAAUGGUCGGUACAAAGGGUCGCCAAGCCGCGAGGUGGAGCCAAUCCCAGAAAGCCGAUCGUAGUCCGGAUCGCAGUCUGCAACUCGACUGCGUGAAGUCGGAAUCGCUAGUAAUCG
Molecule: ribosomal RNA, 1215 nt
Filed under: metagenome
Description: bacterial SSU rRNA
Rfam family: Bacterial small subunit ribosomal RNA
Source: RNAcentral